This 381-nucleotide ribosomal RNA is filed under the name Triticum aestivum (bread wheat). RNAcentral's name for it is "partial small subunit ribosomal RNA". The record is from RNAcentral. Lineage: Eukaryota; Viridiplantae; Streptophyta; Magnoliopsida; Poales; Poaceae.
AUUUUGGAAAGAGUGGGAGAAGUGUCAUACAAGUUAGACCUGCCAGAAGGGACUAACAUACACCCAGUAUUUCACAUUAGCCAACUGAAAAAACAUAUCGGCCACACAGUUGUUCCUCUUCCGCAUGUUCCCUUGGUGACACCAGAGGGUUAUGUUAAGACCAUACCAGUGGCAGUCCUAGAUCGGCACGUGAUACAAAGAAACAAAGCCCCGAUGGGUCAAUGCCUGGUGCAGUGGGAAAGCUUAGCUCCAGAUGAUGCAACAUGGGAAGACGCAGCAUUCCUCAACAAGACUUUUCCAGGCCACAAGCUUUUUCGCCUCGAGGACAAGGCGAUUGUCAUGGCGGCGGCAUUGUCAGGACCCAAGCCGAGAGAGUACUGA